GGCUCAGAUUGAACGCUGGCGGUAUGCUUAACACAUGCAAGUCGAACGGUAACAGGUCGCUGUGAUCUCUUCGGAGUGAACUUGACGCUGACGAGUGGCGGACGGGUGAGUAAUACUUAGGAAUCUACCCAGUAGUGGGGGACAACACGACGAAAGUCGUGCUAAUACCGCAUACGCCCUAAGGGGGAAAGUGGAGGAUCUUCGGACUUCACGCUAUUGGAUGAGCCUAAGUCGGAUUAGCUUGUUGGUGAGGUAAUGGCUCACCAAGGCGACGAUCCGUAGCUGGUCUGAGAGGACGAUCAGCCACACUGGGACUGAGACACGGCCCAGACUCCUACGGGAGGCAGCAGUGGGGAAUAUUGGACAAUGGGGGCAACCCUGAUCCAGCAAUACCGCGUGUGUGAAGAAGGCCUGCGGGUUGUAAAGCACUUUCAGUAGAGAAGAAAAGCUUAGGGUUAAUACCCCUGAGUCUUGACGUAACCUACAGAAGAAGCACCGGCUAACUCCGUGCCAGCAGCCGCGGUAAUACGGGGGGUGCAAGCGUUAAUCGGAAUUACUGGGCGUAAAGCGCGCGUAGGCGGUCUGGUCAGUCGGAUGUGAAAGCCCUGGGCUCAACCUGGGAAUGGCAUUCGAUACUGCCCGACUAGAAUAUGGAAGAGGGAAGUGGAAUUUCCGGUGUAGCGGUGAAAUGCGUAGAUAUCGGAAGGAACACCAGUGGCGAAGGCGGCUUCCUGGUCCAA
Molecule: ribosomal RNA, 740 nt
Filed under: uncultured Gammaproteobacteria bacterium
Lineage: Bacteria; Pseudomonadati; Pseudomonadota; Gammaproteobacteria
Description: bacterial SSU rRNA
Rfam family: Bacterial small subunit ribosomal RNA
Source: RNAcentral